UGACAUUAUUUGCAAUCCCUAGCCAACGU
Molecule: small RNA, 29 nt
Filed under: Bombyx mori (domestic silkworm)
Lineage: Eukaryota; Metazoa; Arthropoda; Insecta; Lepidoptera; Bombycidae
Description: ovarian small RNA-31471
Source: RNAcentral